GAUGAACGCUGGCGGCGUGCCUAAUACAUGCAAGUCGAGCGAACGGACGAGAAGCUUGCUUUUCUGAUGUUAGCGGCGGACGGGUGAGUAACACGUGGAUAACCUACCUAUAAGACUGGGAUAACUUCGGGAAACCGGAGCUAAUACCGGAUAAUAUUUUGAACCGCAUGGUUCAAAAGUGAAAGACGGUCUUGCUGUCACUUAUAGAUAGAUCCGCGCUGCAUUAGCUAGUUGGUAAGGUAACGGCUUACCAAGGCAACGAUGCAUAGCCGACCUGAGAGGGUGAUCGGCCACACUGGAACUGAGACACGGUCCAGACUCCUACGGGAGGCAGCAGUAGGGAAUCUUCCGCAAAGGGCGAAAGCCUGACGGAGCAACGCCGCGUGAGUGGUGAAGGUCUUCGGAUCGUAAAACUCUGUUAUUAGGGAAGAACAUAUGUGUAAGUAACUGUGCACAUCUUGACGGUACCUAAUCAGAAAGCCACGGCUAACUACGUG
Molecule: ribosomal RNA, 497 nt
Filed under: uncultured bacterium
Lineage: Bacteria
Description: partial 16S ribosomal RNA
Rfam family: Bacterial small subunit ribosomal RNA
Source: RNAcentral